Cyanistes caeruleus (blue tit) is the source of this 4875-nucleotide non-coding RNA. Lineage: Eukaryota; Metazoa; Chordata; Aves; Passeriformes; Paridae. The record is from RefSeq and is a predicted model, not a curated record.
GCCAGCCCGCCCGGAGCGUCCCUGGCACCGGCGGGACCGACUGCGCUCGGCAGCCCGGCAGAAAUGGGUCUCCCGGGCUCGGUGGUGGGGCUGCUACCGACCCCCACAGCCGCCCGCCCGUCACAGCCCUCCCGUGGGCAGAGCGGGGGGCGGCUCCGGCCCCGCACAGAAGCGGCGUGGGCAGGUCCGUCCCAACACGCCCACCGCCGUCCGAGGGGGUAAGGGUGGGAGAAAGGAGACCAGGAGAAUAGAUUGCUUAUGUCCGUGGUAAAGGGGUUUACAAAAGGGCAGGAAAGGGCAAAGUGAGGGGCAGGAGAGAAGCCUGGUCUGAUAACAUUCAUCUUUUAGCCAUCUCUUCAAAUCACACUGUUAAGAUCAUAUCUGCUUUUCCUGCUCCAUUACAGGUGAUGAGGGGUAAGACUGCUGAAGGUGUGAGAGCUGGUGACUAUACGUUUGGCGGUGCAAAAUACACCUCGGGGUGGCUGGUCCCACGAGGCCAAAUGCUCAGGGAGCAGCGCAGCAAAGGACUUAAAUCAGGAUCCCUAAAGGGGUGCAAGUCCUGUGGACAUGGUUGGUGUCCUCUGUUUUGGGGCAUGAGAUCCUGACUGACCCCAGGACAUGUAAGCAAAGUUGAGAUGCUGGUCAUGAGGAAAAUUAGUUGACUCUGCCCUUCUUCUGGGGUUUUUCACUGCAAAGGGAAAAGUCUACUUAGGAAGGAGGAUACAUGUGAAAUGAAAUUAUCUUUUCUCCCCAGCCAUUAUGCCAGAGUUAUGUAUCUGUUUUCUAGCCCCUGAAUCCUGAUUUCACUUAUGGAAAAUGAAAGGAAUAUACCUCUGCCAGAAUGAUGAUCAUCCCUCUCCCCACCUUUUAAGGGCAGCUGGGUGAUCAGAACUCAUUCUGGAGGCAGAAGACUUGAGUUUGACUUGGCCAAGGUGAAGUGGAGCUCUCUCACCUAUACUCUGUGUGGAUACUUACAAAACUGAUAGAAAACAAGUAGAGGUAGCUAAUUCUCUAGCCAGAUCUUAGAAGUAAUUGCCUGCCACUGCUUCUGCAGAAAGUCAAGAGGCAUUUCCAAAGGACUCACAUUUUGAAAGCUUGAUAGCCCAAUGGGUCUGUAGGAUACUUUUAAUCCCUUAUUUUUUAUAACUUCUAAAAUUAAUUUUAAAACCAGUUUACUAAAAUGUGCCUAAUGAUCUACAACAUCCAGCAGUUCUCAUUCUCUUACCUCUGCAGUGUCUCUAAUGAAUAAAACUGCAAUUAAUUUCAGUGUUUAGUGUGGCUGAGCCAGUUCUUAAUAGGGACCAUACUAGUAUGGCAAUAGCUCAGAGCUCUUUGCUAGCUGAUAAACUUCUUAAUGGCUUGAGGUCCAGCUGAAGGCUUGGAAUAUUAAUACUAAUUAAUUCUAAUAAUUUUCAGAAAACAAGCAAUCAUGCAUAUGACAGGAUCUGAGAAACAUUGGACAAACUACAUAUAGGAAACACAUGGAUCAAUGACUUAUUUUUAUUGGCCAAUAGCCAUUUUCUUUUAUUUUUCAUGUUCUUGAAGAAAUCCUGAUAUAUGCAUAUCUUGAAAAGUUUCCUUAAAAUAUUAAAUUUUUAAGUUUUGAAGGAGCAAUGAAUUUUAACUGUGGAAAAUGUAAAUUACUUGGACAGCAAAUCUGCCCCUUCCAGCUUGCCAAAAAUUUGUAGUGCAAGAUCAACUGGAGUCCAUUAUGUAUUCAAGCAUCACUCCUGAAUUUACAUCAUGAAGAAGUAAAAGCUGGAAUGAAAAGGUGUGUUUCAACCAAAUACUGUCCACUAUUGAUUUGAACGUUUUCCUGUAACAACAGAUACAUUUUACAGCUCAAGAUGGGAAUGUCACAUACUUCUGCUCUGAAAGUUGAUAAUACAAGCUCUUGAAAAAACAGGUUGAAAAUGAUGUAACCUGGAUCUUAAAAAGGAAAUGAAAAAAGAGUUGGCUACCCGCUUAAAGGAGUAAACCACUUUCUGAAAGCUGGAUCUCAGAUCUGUGUUUUUUCUGAGUUCUAUAAGAAGAAUCAAUUAAUGUAGAAGUGCUUGACUUUUCUUACUUUUUUCUCUUCUUUCUCUUCUCUAUGGAAAGAGCUGUCCAAUUAAUGUCUCCCUGCUUUUGUAUAGUAAUCACUAAACUUGCUGGUUUUGUCUUGAAUUGUGUUGCAUUUUGAUUGUUGCAAUCUUGAGACUUCAAAGACAUAAACAACACAAGGUGAGUAAAAACUUUUCAUUAGAUCUAUGAUAUAGCUUGGAAAAUGGAAACAAUGUUUUUAGGCAAUGUGAACUUUUUCAGAGUGAAGCUGAAAAACUGUUUGCUUGAUCAACUAUCCAUGUUCAAAAAAAUAAAUUGUUGGCAAACUUCAUCUUGCUCUGGGUUCUAUAUUUCUUGCCUUUAUAUCUUUGUACUUCUCCUUCCUCUCACUCUACACAUAAACAAUUUUUAGUCCACUCAUCUUAAAGCAACUCUUUAAGGUUCUUGUCUCCAGUUGUCACUCUGGGCAAAAUUCUUCCCUACCCUCUGUCUCAUUAAAUAACUUCAUUCACUGAAGUUGCUUCCAUACACUAAUUCACUAAUCUCUGCAUGGUGGUGCAUGGUUUUGCCUGACUGUAGACUGAGGUAGGGCAGAGAAAUCUCUUUUUCUGUUUGCAAAUGUAGUCCAGGAGCUGAGGGAGCAGGUGCUUGACACAUCAAAUGGAACAGGUGUGUUGCUUCUUUUUCUACUCCUCUGCUGGACAGCCUCAUACAGGCAUUGCAUUUUUGCCUCCCUUGGGGCUGUAGAGAUGUGUACUCUUUGUGACUGUGAUUGUGGCACACAAGUAGAGAGAAACAUGUUUUGGAAACAUCUGCUCUAUUCCAACCCUCUAGAGAAGGAUAGUUCCUUACCUUGUGUGCUGGCUACUCAUGAGAAUGAAUUUCUGUGCUAUUUUAGGCAAGACCUGUAUGCACACAAAGAUUAUGUAAAACUGAAGAUACAGAUCCAGUUACAAAUGCAGUUUUGCAAUUGGUCUUGAAUGCAGCCUGGAGAAACAAACUGGAUUCCAACAUGAAAGAUAACUACUCAAAACCACUUCUGAAGAGAGAAAAUCAAGGAGACCAGCAAACUGAGAGCUGGGUGUUGGAUAGCAGAAGCAGAGCAAGGCUGGAUAUUAGAUAGCAACUAAUCUUUAGUUGUGAUCCUUUACAUCCACCUUUACCCACACCCUAGUCAGCCCUUGACUCAAGUCAAUGAGUGAUGGCAUAGCAUUUUACACUCAAUUUGAAGACCUUAAGGAGGAUCAAUGACAAGGUUGUCAAGUCUGGAGGUGAUGGAAAAGUGUCUCUGGUGAAUCAGGAACUAGUACUGAGCAACGUCAUGAAUACGGUGACACUGAAGCUGAUGAAACACAGCUUCAAGGGGAACAAGAAUAAGGAGAUGGAAAAAACUGUGGUGGGAAUGUGAAGAGGGGAUGGCCAAGUGUAACCUGCCCUGAGGAACAGUGUGACUGUCUGCCCUGUGGCAUUAUCAAAUACCAGGAUACCCUGACACAGGGCAGGAGUACAGACAUCCUCAGCAGGGCCUCUGGGAAGCAGAUGGAAGUGACACAAUAAAAUGGAAACUCAGAGGGGAAAGAUGAGGCCAUUCAGUCAAUUUGUUUAGAUAUUUGUUGACCAAGUUGGAGAGAGUAGCACUAUUAAAUGGAGAAAUGGAGAGUUAUCUCACUUAUGAGAAAAGUGGGUCACUGGUGGUGGCAGAAUUACUGGAGGUGGACAGAUAAUAUUUGUUUUGGCUUGCUGAAGUCAGUAGGCCACCUGCUCUGAUAAAAGUUGCAUAACAUUUUAGCACAAGUUGAAAGGUAGCUGAAAUGACGUGGAAUUCAAAAGCUGAAAGCAGAUUAAUUUUUCAGUCCUUCUGGGAAGAGUAACUCAAACCCAUAUGAAAGUGGUAGUUUCUAGGUGCAAAGGAAAGACUGUCACUAUGAUGUCUACACAACCAAACAUUCAUCUGGCUGAAGCAAAAGCCGUUCAAACAAUGUUUCUUCAAUUGAAUGCAAACAUGCCAAGGCUCUUUGAUACUUGGAGGUGUUUUGAUUUAAUGUGUAUAUGUAUUCCCUUUUCUUACACAGAAAUGUAAAAGGUACAAAGGGAAGAAUAACUUCUAAGCAAACACUUCCACUGUUAGAAGAAUUUACCAUUUAUUCAAUUAUGAAAAAAUAUAUAAAAUCAUAUUUACAGCCAUAAGGCCAUCACAGAAGAAGAUGUUUUGCAGCUUCCUAAAAACUUCACCAGAGUCCACACUUUCUUCCCUUAUCAAUUACAUCUCUAUUUACUAGAAAAUGUUAGGUUUUGGGUGGUAGAUUUUCCAGCAGAAUAUUUAAUAUGGAAAAUAACAAGAAACACAUUAAAGCUUUUGCAGACAUUGUUAUUACAAGCUGUAAACUGUGUGAAAUAUUUCUAGAGAAAAAAAAAUCUUAAGCAGUUCCAAUGUCUUUUUUUCUUUCAGCCAAAUGGCAAAAGGAAGAGCAUUUUUGUAUCUAAGUCUGCAUUGUGGUGACAAGCAACACUUGUGUUUGCAAUCAAGGAGCUAAAUGUCAGCAUACUGCUUUUUAUUCAGACAUGAAUUCAGAGGUGCUGGUGAGGGCUCUUCAGAUGUUGACCUACAUGUCUAGUGUUUUACUGAUAAUAGACUUUUAAAGACAGAAAGCCAAAGGAGAAAUUGAGAUUCAGACCUACCUACAGCAGUUAAAGCAAAAUGGUUGAUGGGAAAAGGGUCAUGGCUUCAGCAGUUGCUUCACUGCAAAUUUACACCCCCUGUCUGUAAAUACAGGUAGAUAGUUAACAGAGGAUUGGCAAAAGUACAAUGUAAUUCAGAAUAAAGAAGAAAAA